This 512-nucleotide ribosomal RNA is filed under the name uncultured Entrophospora. RNAcentral's name for it is "SSU rRNA". It matches the Rfam family "Eukaryotic small subunit ribosomal RNA", at positions 569 to 1076 of the family's 1831-position model. The record is from RNAcentral. Lineage: Eukaryota; Fungi; Glomeromycota; Glomeromycetes; Entrophosporales; Entrophosporaceae.
AGCAGCCGCGGUAAUUCCAGCUCCAAUAGCGUAUAUUAAAGUUGUUGCAGUUAAAAAGCUCGUAGUUGAAUUUCGGGAUUGACGUGAUGGUCGUGCCUUAAGGGGUAUGAACUGUUGCUGUUGAUUUCUCACCUUCUGGAGAAACUUGAUGUCCUUAAUUGGGUGUCUUGCGGAUCCAGGACCUUUACCUUGAAAAAAUUAGAGUGUUUAAAGCAGGCAUUUUGCUCGAAUACAUUAGCAUGGAAUAAUAGAAUAGGACGGCAUGGUUCUAUUUUGUUGGUUUCUAGGAUCACCGUAAUGAUUAAUAGGGAUAGUUGGGGGCAUUAGUAUUCAAUUGUCAGAGGUGAAAUUCUUGGAUUUAUUGAAGACUAACUACUGCGAAAGCAUUUGCCAAGGAUGUUUUCAUUAAUCAAGAACGAAAGUUAGGGGAUCGAAGACGAUCAGAUACCGUCGUAGUCUUAACCAUAAACUAUGCCGACUAGGAAUCAGACGAUGUUAAUUUUUUAAUGACU